GGCUGAGAGGUCUAGAGGUUUGAGUAUUAGACUGGGAAUCUGGGAGACCAGGGUUCAAAUCCCUGCUCAGCGU
Molecule: transfer RNA, 73 nt
Filed under: Anolis carolinensis (green anole)
Lineage: Eukaryota; Metazoa; Chordata; Lepidosauria; Squamata; Anolidae
Rfam family: tRNA
About the family: Transfer RNA (tRNA) molecules are approximately 80 nucleotides in length. Their secondary structure includes four short double-helical elements and three loops (D, anti-codon, and T loops). Further hydrogen bonds mediate the characteristic L-shaped molecular structure. tRNAs have two regions of fundamental functional importance: the anti-codon, which is responsible for specific mRNA codon recognition, and the 3' end, to which the tRNAs corresponding amino acid is attached (by aminoacyl-tRNA synthetases). tRNAs cope with the degeneracy of the genetic code in two manners: having more than one tRNA (with a specific anti-codon) for a particular amino acid; and 'wobble' base-pairing, i.e. permitting non-standard base-pairing at the 3rd anti-codon position.
Source: Rfam by way of RNAcentral